Molecule: ribosomal RNA, 253 nt
Filed under: uncultured bacterium
Lineage: Bacteria
Description: partial 16S ribosomal RNA
Rfam family: Bacterial small subunit ribosomal RNA
Source: RNAcentral
UACGGGGGGGGCGAGCGUUGUUCGGAAUUACUGGGCGUAAAGGGCGCGUAGGCGGUUGGAUAAGUCAGCUGUGAAAACCACGAGCUCAACUUGUGGCCUGCAGUUGAGACUGUCUGGCUAGAGUGUGGGAGAGGGAAGUGGAAUUCCUGGUGUAGCGGUGAAAUGCGUAGAUAUUGGGAAGAACACCAGUGGCGAAGGCGGCCAUCUGGACCGGAACUGACGCUGAGGCGCGAAAGCCAGGGGAGCGAAUGGG